Molecule: ribosomal RNA, 70 nt
Filed under: Acacia nervosa
Lineage: Eukaryota; Viridiplantae; Streptophyta; Magnoliopsida; Fabales; Fabaceae
Also listed under: 1 other name
Description: partial large subunit ribosomal RNA
Rfam family: Eukaryotic large subunit ribosomal RNA
Source: RNAcentral
CGCGACCCCAGGUCAGGCGGGGCUACCCGCUGAGUUUAAGCAUAUCAAUAAGCGGAGGAAAAGAAACUAA